Molecule: non-coding RNA, 99 nt
Filed under: Bacillus cereus
Lineage: Bacteria; Bacillati; Bacillota; Bacilli; Caryophanales; Bacillaceae
Also listed under: 1 other name
Description: Azaaromatic sequence
Rfam family: azaaromatic riboswitch aptamer (yjdF RNA)
Source: RNAcentral
CUGUAGAAAUACAAAAACACAGUUCGGUUGGUAGUCCGGACGCAUACGAGUAUGUCAGUAACCUUCCCCUCCGGGAUGUCCAGUAUUUCUGAAUCUUUU